This 440-nucleotide ribosomal RNA is filed under the name uncultured Pseudomonas sp. RNAcentral describes it as "bacterial SSU rRNA". It matches the Rfam family "Bacterial small subunit ribosomal RNA", at positions 358 to 790 of the family's 1533-position model. Lineage: Bacteria; Pseudomonadati; Pseudomonadota; Gammaproteobacteria; Pseudomonadales; Pseudomonadaceae. The record is from RNAcentral.
GGAAUAUUGGACAAUGGGCGAAAGCCUGAUCCAGCCAUGCCGCGUGUGUGAAGAAGGUCUUCGGAUUGUAAAGCACUUUAAGUUGGGAGGAAGGGCAUUAACCUAAUACGUUAGUGUCUUGACGUUACCGACAGAAUAAGCACCGGCUAACUCUGUGCCAGCAGCCGCGGUAAUACAGAGGGUGCAAGCGUUAAUCGGAAUUACUGGGCGUAAAGCGCGCGUAGGUGGUUUGUUAAGUUGAAUGUGAAAUCCCCGGGCUCAACCUGGGAACUGCAUCCAAAACUGGCAAGCUAGAGUAUGGUAGAGGGUAGUGGAAUUUCCUGUGUAGCGGUGAAAUGCGUAGAUAUAGGAAGGAACACCAGUGGCGAAGGCGACUACCUGGACUGAUACUGACACUGAGGUGCGAAAGCGUGGGGAGCAAACAGGAUUAGAUACCCUUG